This 493-nucleotide ribosomal RNA is filed under the name uncultured bacterium. RNAcentral's name for it is "bacterial SSU rRNA". It matches the Rfam family "Bacterial small subunit ribosomal RNA", at positions 29 to 524 of the family's 1533-position model. The record is from RNAcentral.
AUUGAACGCUGGCGGAAUGCUUUACACAUGCAAGUCGAACGGCAGCACGGGGGCAACCCUGGUGGCGAGUGGCGAACGGGUGAGUAAUACAUCGGAACGUGCCCAGUCGUGGGGGAUAACUACGCGAAAGCGUAGCUAAUACCGCAUACGAUCUACGGAUGAAAGCGGGGGAUCGCAAGACCUCGCGCGAUUGGAGCGGCCGAUGGCAGAUUAGGUAGUUGGUGGGGUAAAGGCUCACCAAGCCUGCGAUCUGUAGCUGGUCUGAGAGGACGACCAGCCACACUGGGACUGAGACACGGCCCAGACUCCUACGGGAGGCAGCAGUGGGGAAUUUUGCGCAAUGGCCGAAAGGCUGACGCAGCGACGCCGCGUGAGGGAUGAAGGUCUUCGGAUCGUAAACCUCUGUUGCCCGGGACGAACAGCCUGUUUCGACAGGUCUGACGGUACCGGGUGAGGAAGCACCGGCUAACUCUGUGCCAGCCGCCGCCGUAAG